GGCUCGUUGGUCUAGAGGUAUGAUUCUCGCUUCGGGUGCGAGAGGUCCCGGGUUCAAUUCCCGACGAGCCC
RNAcentral lists this transfer RNA (71 nucleotides) under Drosophila pseudoobscura pseudoobscura. RNAcentral describes it as "tRNA-Pro (CGG) (tRNA-Pro-CGG-3-1)". It matches the Rfam family "tRNA". From Rfam's summary of the family: Transfer RNA (tRNA) molecules are approximately 80 nucleotides in length. Their secondary structure includes four short double-helical elements and three loops (D, anti-codon, and T loops). Further hydrogen bonds mediate the characteristic L-shaped molecular structure. tRNAs have two regions of fundamental functional importance: the anti-codon, which is responsible for specific mRNA codon recognition, and the 3' end, to which the tRNAs corresponding amino acid is attached (by aminoacyl-tRNA synthetases). tRNAs cope with the degeneracy of the genetic code in two manners: having more than one tRNA (with a specific anti-codon) for a particular amino acid; and 'wobble' base-pairing, i.e. permitting non-standard base-pairing at the 3rd anti-codon position. The record is from RNAcentral. Lineage: Eukaryota; Metazoa; Arthropoda; Insecta; Diptera; Drosophilidae.